Molecule: long non-coding RNA, 1301 nt
Organism: Gorilla gorilla gorilla (western lowland gorilla)
Lineage: Eukaryota; Metazoa; Chordata; Mammalia; Primates; Hominidae
Exons: 9
Source: RefSeq, a predicted model, not a curated record
CUAAGUGGUUGCUGCCCUUGACUACUAUGAAGACUGGUGUGGGAAGGGUCGCUUUGGAUGCACUUGAGCAGGGGUCCCCAAUCCCUGAGCCAUGGAGCCGUAAGGAGCCACACAGCAGGUGGGACCAUCCAGUUUCAGGAAAACAAGCUGAACACGCCCACUGAUUCUACAUUAUGCUCCUACCUCCCGGCAGCCUCGCCAGGCCCAGAACUCUCUCCAGUCAGCCUCUACAGACCAAGCUCAUGACUCACAAUGGCCUAUUGAGGCCCAUACCCUACCUCACGGCAGUCUCCGCAGAUGAGCCUACUGCCUCACAACAGCCUCCACAGGCACAGCUCCAUCGUUACAAUGGCCUCUUUAGACCCAGCUCCUGCCGCCCAGCCUUCUCUCCAGGCCCUGAACUUUCUCCGUGGGACCAUCCAGUUUCAGGAAAACAAGCUUAACACGCCCACUGAUUCUACAUUAUGCUCCUACCUCCCGGCAGCCUCGCCAGGCCCAGAACUCUCUCCAGUCAGCCUCUACAGACCAAGCUCAUGACUCACAAUGGCCUAUUGAGGCCCAUACCCUACCUCACGGCAGUCUCCGCAGAUGAGCCUACUGCCUCACAACAGCCUCCACAGGCACAGCUCCAUCGUUACAAUGGCCUCUUUAGACCCAGCUCCUGCCGCCCAGCCUUCUCUCCAGGCCCUGAACUUUCUCCGUGGGACCAUCCAGUUUCAGGAAAACAAGCUGAACACGCCCACUGAUUCUACAUUAUGCUCCUACCUCCCGGCAGCCUCGCCAGGCCCAGAACUCUCUCCAGUCAGCCUCUACAGACCAAGCUCAUGACUCACAAUGGCCUAUUGAGGCCCAUACCCUACCUCACGGCAGUCUCCGCAGAUGAGCCUACUGCCUCACAACAGCCUCCACAGGCACAGCUCCAUCGUUACAAUGGCCUCUUUAGACCCAGCUCCUGCCGCCCAGCCUUCUCUCCAGGCCCUGAACUUUCUCCGUGGGACCAUCCAGUUUCAGGAAAACAAGCUUAACACGCCCACUGAUUCUACAUUAUGCUCCUACCUCCCGGCAGCCUCGCCAGGCCCAGAACUCUCUCCAGUCAGCCUCUACAGACCAAGCUCAUGACUCACAAUGGCCUAUUGAGGCCCAUACCCUACCUCACGGCAGUCUCCGCAGAUGAGCCUACUGCCUCACAGCAGCCUCCACAGGCACAGCUCCAUCGUUACAAUGGCCUCUUUAGACCCAGCUCCUGCCGCCCAGCCUUCUCUCCAGGCCCUGAACUUUCUCCGUAAGUUGAGGUAGCUGGG